Molecule: unclassified non-coding RNA, 391 nt
Filed under: Hevea brasiliensis (rubber tree)
Lineage: Eukaryota; Viridiplantae; Streptophyta; Magnoliopsida; Malpighiales; Euphorbiaceae
Source: RNAcentral
CACCCAUAAAAAAAAUUCCAUACGAUAAACUUUGUUCUACAAUAGGUGAUGACACCAUUUUCAUGUCCCAUGCAUGUGAACCACAGCAAGAGUAACAAGCAUUAGUGUUGCUGGAAAAUGCAUGAUAAUUCUCCUUUAUAGAAGAGAACAAGAUGUAUUAGUCUUAUAAGAAGAUGUAAAAAUAUAAAUGUCACGAAAAAACAGAGGACCAUCGAACAGAGGACCAUUGAAUGGUAUAUGCUUUAAAAGGAUGCAUAUUGGUUGUUUAAUAGACAGGCAGGCGAUUGAGGUAUGAUUCGUUAUGCAAAGUCCUACUGCAGCCAAAUGGCGCAGGCGUCUUGUUGUUGGUUUUCCUUGUCUUCCAUAUUCUUUAAUUUCCUGCCUUACAAGA